AAUUGACCAUUUGCGUAAUAGACUAAAUUUUGAACUAAACAAGUCUAGACAAAAAUUUCAUCACAGCUUGAAGGAGCAUCACAAAAUUAGUAAUAUUGCAAAGUUUCGUUGCAAAAUGUUGUAAAAUGCGGAAAAUAUAGCCUUGCGAAAUUUGCAAUUUUCAGUCAUUUUAGAUUACAAACGGGAAAUUGACAGCCCCAAACCCUUCGAGGCUGUCAAUUUCCGGUUGGUAAUCUAAAAUGACUGAAAAUUGCAAAUUUCGCAAGGCUAUAUUUUCCGCAUUUUGCAACAUUUUGCAACGAAACUUUGGAAUAUUACUAAUUUUGUGAUGCUCUUUCAAGCUGUAAUGAAAUUUUUGUUGAGAUCAAAAUUUAGUCUAUUACGCAAAUGGUCAAUUAUUGAGCAAAAUUUCCUAAAUUCGUCGAUAGGAAAUACGCAUCUCUAGUUAAUAUUGAUGUCGGGACUCUACUGCAAAUCGCCCAGCAAAAAAACGCCAAAACCAUGAAAAAAAUAUUAAAAAAUAAAAUGAUUUCCGACCUACCGACCCUAAUUUUUUCACGAUAUGAAACCGGAACCACAG
Molecule: non-coding RNA, 580 nt
Organism: Paramuricea clavata
Lineage: Eukaryota; Metazoa; Cnidaria; Anthozoa; Malacalcyonacea; Plexauridae
Source: the annotation of a GenBank genome assembly